Molecule: non-coding RNA, 531 nt
Organism: Coregonus clupeaformis (lake whitefish)
Lineage: Eukaryota; Metazoa; Chordata; Actinopteri; Salmoniformes; Salmonidae
Source: the annotation of a RefSeq genome assembly
AUGCAUUCAUAUCCUUCUUUCAGUAACUGACAGGAAACAAUGAACAAAAGAACAGCUCUAACAAUUCUAUGCUGUGCCAUGCUCUGGGAGGCUUUUGGAGCGGGUCAAAAUGAGAUUCUAGUGAAACCAGGGGACACGGUCACCCUUGGCUGUGACAUCACCCUGGAGUACGAGAUCAUGUGGUUUGUUCUUCGUCCUGAUGCCACUCUUUCAGUGGCCAUCACUAUGAAGACGAAUAUACCUUUGAGCCACAACAAAAAGUUUGAUGUCUGUUUCGAGUCAGUGUAUGACACAGCCCUGUUCAGAAGCAAUCUGAGCAUACUGAACGUCUCAGAGAGCGACGUGGGUCUGUACUACUGUGCUGAGCAGAGGGCUAACAUAUUUGAGAUCGGAAGUGGGACGAAGCUGUCCCUUAUCAGUGGUGAUCAGCUCUCUACUACUGUUGUUGGGAUGAAGUUGUCAUGGUUUAUCACCUUGAUCAUAGCCCCCAUGUUCUCUGUGCUGGGGUCUGCUCUCUGCGUCUUCUGUUGA